GUACGGGAGGCAGCAGCAAGGAAUAUUGUGCAAUGGGCGAAAGCCUGACACAGCGACACCGCGUGGAGGAAGAAGGCCUUCGGGUUGUAAACUCCUUUUAUCAGGGACGAAUAAUGACGGUACCUGAUGAAUAAGCCACGGCUAACUACGUGCCAGCAGCCGCGGUAAGACGUAGGUGGCAAGCGUUAUCCGGAUUUACUGGGCGUAAAGAGCGCGUAGGCGGCUUGACAAGUCAGAUAUAAAAUCUCCUGGCUUAACUGGGAGGGGCUAUCUGAUACUGUCAGGCUAGAGUGCAUCAGAGGGAGAUGGAAUUCCCGGUGUAGUGGUGAAAUGCGUAGAUAUCGGGAGGAACACCAGUGGCGAAAGCGGUCUCCUGGGGUGUUACUGACGCUGAGGCGCGAAAGUGUGGGGAGCGAACAGGAUUAGAUACCCCGGU
This 436-nucleotide ribosomal RNA is filed under the name uncultured bacterium. Its description in RNAcentral is "bacterial SSU rRNA". It matches the Rfam family "Bacterial small subunit ribosomal RNA", at positions 339 to 791 of the family's 1533-position model. The record is from RNAcentral.